UGGAAACGGUGGCUAAUACCGCAUAACGUCGCAAGACCAAAGAGGGGGACCUUCGGGCCUCUUGCCAUCAGAUGUGCCCAGAUGGGAUUAGCUUGUUGGUGAGGUAACGGCUCACCAAGGCGACGAUCCCUAGCUGGUCUGAGAGGAUGACCAGCCACACUGGAACUGAGACACGGUCCAGACUCCUACGGGAGGCAGCAGUGGGGAAUAUUGCACAAUGGGCGCAAGCCUGAUGCAGCCAUGCCGCGUGUAUGAAGAAGGCCUUCGGGUUGUAAAGUACUUUCAGCGGGGAGGAAGGUGUUGUGGUUAAUAACCGCAGCAAUUGACGUUACCCGCAGAAGAAGCACCGGCUAACUCCGUGCCAGCAGCCGCGGUAAUACGGAGGGUGCAAGCGUUAAUCGGAAUUACUGGGCGUAAAGCGCACGCAGGCGGUCUGUCAAGUCGGAUGUGAAAUCCCCGGGCUCAACCUGGGAACUGCAUUCGAAACUGGCAGGCUUGAGUCUUGUAGAGGGGGGUAGAAUUCCAGGUGUAGCGGUGAAAUGCGUAGAGAUCUGGAGGAAUACCGGUGGCGAAGGCGGCCCCCUGGACAAAGACUGACGCUCAGGUGCGAAAGCGUGGGGAGCAAACAGGAUUAGAUACCCUGGUAGUCCACGCCGUAAACGAUGUCUACUUGGAGGUUGUGCCCUUGAGGCGUGGCUUCCGGAGCUAACGCGUUAAGUAGACCGCCUGGGGAGUACGGCCGCAAGGUUAAAACUCAAAUGAAUUGACGGGGGCCCGCACAAGCGGUGGAGCAUGUGGUUUAAUUCGAUGCAACGCGAAGAACCUUACCUGGUCUUGACAUCCACAGAACUUUCCAGAGAUGGAUUGGUGCCUUCGGGAACUGUGAGACAGGUGCUGCAUGGCUGUCGUCAGCUCGUGUUGUGAAAUGUUGGGUUAAGUCCCGCAACGAGCGCAACCCUUAUCCUUUGUUGCCAGCGGUCCGGCCGGGAACUCAAAGGAGACUGCCAGUGAUAAACUGGAGGAAGGUGGGGAUGACGUCAAGUCAUCAUGGCCCUUACGACCAGGGCUACACACGUGCUACAAUGGCGCAUACAAAGAGAAGCGACCUCGCGAGAGCAAGCGGACCUCAUAAAGUGCGUCGUAGUCCGGAUUGGAGUCUGCAACUCGACUCCAUGAAGUCGGAAUCGCUAGUAAUCGUGGAUCAGAAUGCCACGGUGAAUACGUUCCCGGGCCUUGUACACACCGCCCGUCACACCAUGGGAGUGGGUUGCAAAAGAAGUAGGUAGCUUAACCUUCGGGAGGGCGCUUACCACUUUGUGAUUCAUGACUGGGGUGAAGUCGUAACAAGGUAACCGUAGGGGAACCUGCGGUUGGA
RNAcentral lists this ribosomal RNA (1375 nucleotides) under Salmonella enterica. RNAcentral's name for it is "bacterial SSU rRNA". It matches the Rfam family "Bacterial small subunit ribosomal RNA", at positions 151 to 1522 of the family's 1533-position model. Lineage: Bacteria; Pseudomonadati; Pseudomonadota; Gammaproteobacteria; Enterobacterales; Enterobacteriaceae. The record is from RNAcentral. RNAcentral also lists the same sequence under 2 other names.